CCCGUCCGGGAGGGGAGGAGGUUUGAUUGAGACAAACCCCGGCCCCACCCGGCUGGGGAGCCUGCGAGGAUCGGGCCCGGGGGCUCCUCGGGGGGUGACUCCCGACCCGCGCGGUUUCUGGAGGUCUCAAGUUCCCUACUUUAUUAUUGCGCGCUCCGCCGGGCCAGAAUGAUUGAAGCUCUAACUCCCCUGGGUUUUACGACUUCUAAACUCUCCCGGGAUGGGGAAAGCACAUCGCGCAGGAAAGAAGCUACCUGGACCAGUUCUUCCAGAGCUCCUUGCCAACCUCUGAAUUCUUGGGUCUCAAUACUCUGGGAAGGGAUUACUCCUCACUACCCCUCUUCUUCCACUUCAGUCUCCCUGCUCCCACACCCGGAACCCAGAGGUCUCCCGCCUUCUAUAUGACACCCUGGCCUUAAAGAUCCUGUUUCCCACUGAGGAAACUCUUCGGCCUUUCUCAACUCCUGCCCCUCAGCUCACUCCCUGACCCACUCUCUCACCAGCCCUUGACCUUAUCGACCGGGCAGUGCCCGGAUCCAAAAGAUGGACUCACCUAGCACUCUAGCCUUUCUGGCGUGAUUUCUGCGAGGCGCCAAACUUGCUUUAUAAAUUGAACCACUCCCCCACAGCACUCCACAUCUGGUUCCCAAUGGAGUACUUCUCUGUGCCCUUUUUCGCUCCUAUUACUGCUCUCAGCCUGACUCCAUUUAUCAGCAUCUUCCAUGCACAGUCUCCAUCAACAAGGUGCUAGCCUGUAAUUGGUCACACAAUCCUCCUUAUUGCACUGAAUGCCAGUAUCUUGAGGAAAGUUUACCUUUACAUCAAUCAGACCCAUAUUUAAAAGCCUCUAAUCUUCCCUACAUCAGCUUAAUAAACUCUCUGAAUUUCCUGCUUUUAUCACAAGUCCACUGGGACUCCUCUGCAAAUAGUUUAUUAUUCAUUCAUUGUUUCCCAUCUCUAGCAUGCUGCUAUUCAAGCAAAUUCCCUUGCUCUCUUUGGUGAAUACUUGUAUGGGGAAAACACAGCUAACUAAAUGUGUGGCAGCUUAUGCC
This is a long non-coding RNA of Bos taurus (domestic cattle), 1052 nucleotides long. The record is from Ensembl. Lineage: Eukaryota; Metazoa; Chordata; Mammalia; Artiodactyla; Bovidae.